UAAAGAAAUCAUUAAAGCAUCCACUUUUAAUUCCGGAAUCGGUAGUUAAUUCCUUACAUAGAAUCUGGUAACCUUGACCCACCAUAUGGUAGAGGGCCCUACAAAAUUCAUCAUUCACUGUCCAAGAAAAUGAGAAGCAUCUGCACAAUGUAAGCAUUGAAUUCUCCAAUAAAUAGCGAAAGCAAUCCUUAAUGUUUGAUUUAGCCAACAUUUCUAAGGAUGCAGAUUAAAUUAACACCAAGCACAGAUGAACAACCUUAAUCAAGACAAACCCAAUUUCAGGUCAAACUACCAUAAAGAAAACAACACCCCAAGAAAGAAAGAAAGAAAAAAUGUAGAAGACAACUCGAUUUCCCUUCACAAAUAGGUUGAAGAAAUGUAGGAGAUGGUAUGGAUCCUCAUAAGAAAGCUAUAGAAAAUGCUACUACCAGAAGUGGACAAAUGCAUCCCACAAAGCACCAAUAGCAAGAACAGCUGGGAGAACAUACUGGCCUCUGAGAUUGAAACUUGGAGAGGCACUGUUCUCAUUCAAGGAGGCAGCUGUAGGAGGGGGAGGUGGGUUUUCAACAUGAACAGCUAGCUUCAUUCCACCAAAACAGAACCCUUUACCACUGAUUAAAUAGUAGUUGCGAGUCACAUUCAGUGGAACCACAUCUCUUCCGGCUCCCCUAGUCCAGUUGUGAAGAGGAUGAUCAGAGUUACAUGACUCAUAAUCUGUCUUGUUCACCUCUAGCACAUUCAUCUGGUUCCUAUCGUACACAAAAAAGAGCCAAUCCCCAUUGUAGAAAUGCUUGUCUUUAGCCCAAACAGUAUAAUUCACAUUGGUAGUCCAGCCCAUAUUACCUCCUACAAUCCAUCUAGUUGCAGACACUUCUGGUACCAAAACCGCCAUUAGCACCACCGCCAAAGUGACCACCAUCAAGACAGGCAAGCCAGACCCACAUCCUCUCUUCACUCGCUCCAUCUCCUCCCUCUCUCUCUGUAGCGCAAGACGUUAUGCUUUUGGCUUUUCUUGGCUUGGUUUAUUUAUUAUAUGAUGUAGUACAGAGACCACAGAGCAGCAGCUGCUUAUCAAGAAAAGGUUACUUGUUUAGCUUCUAGCUAGAUCUAUUAAACCACCAUGGAUUAAUCUAUUUUGAAAAUCUUGGGUGUUAACCUCCAUGGAUUCUAAGUGAUUGGGACAAGCUGUCGCUAUUUAGCUUUCAAGCUCAAU
This 1213-nucleotide unclassified non-coding RNA is filed under the name Hevea brasiliensis (rubber tree). The record is from RNAcentral. Lineage: Eukaryota; Viridiplantae; Streptophyta; Magnoliopsida; Malpighiales; Euphorbiaceae.